AGUGGCGAACGGGUGAGUAACGCGUGAGUAACCUGCCCUAGUAGUGGGGGAUUCAGUUGGAAACGACUGCUAAUACCGCAUAAGCCCACGACCCGGCAUCGGGUAGAGGGAAAAGGAGCAAUCCGCUUUGAGAUGGCCUCGCGUCCGAUUAGCUAGUUGGUGAGGUAAUGGCCCACCAAGGCGACGAUCGGUAGCCGGACUGAGAGGUUGAACGGCCACAUUGGGACUGAGACACGGCCCAGACUCCUACGGGAGGCAGCAGUGGGGAAUAUUGCACAAUGGGGGAAACCCUGAUGCAGCGACGCCGCGUGGAGGAAGAAGGUCUUCGGAUUGUAAACUCCUGUUGUUGAGGAAGAUAAUGACGGUACUCAACAAGGAAGUGACGGCUAACUACGUGCCAGCAGCCGCGGUAAAACGUAGGUCACAAGCGUUGUCCGGAAUUACUGGGUGCAAAGGGAGCGCAGGCGGGAAGACAAGUUGGAAGUGAAAUCCAUGGGCUCAACCCAUGAACUGCUUUCAAAACUGUUUUUCUUGAGUAGUGCAGAGGUAGGCGGAAUUCCCGGUGUAGCGGUGGAAUGCGUAGAUAUCGGGAGGAACACCAGUGGCGAAGGCGGCCUACUGGGCACCAACUGACGCUGAGGCUCGAAAGUGUGGGUAGCAAACAGGAUUAGAUACCCUGGUAGUCCACACUGUAAACGAUGAUGACUAGGUGUUGGAGGAUUGACCCCUU
RNAcentral lists this ribosomal RNA (730 nucleotides) under uncultured Oscillospiraceae bacterium. RNAcentral describes it as "bacterial SSU rRNA". It matches the Rfam family "Bacterial small subunit ribosomal RNA", at positions 94 to 840 of the family's 1533-position model. Lineage: Bacteria; Bacillati; Bacillota; Clostridia; Eubacteriales; Oscillospiraceae. The record is from RNAcentral.